This 402-nucleotide ribosomal RNA is filed under the name uncultured prokaryote. RNAcentral describes it as "bacterial SSU rRNA". It matches the Rfam family "Bacterial small subunit ribosomal RNA", at positions 355 to 774 of the family's 1533-position model. The record is from RNAcentral.
UAGGGAAUAUUCCGCAAUGGGCGAAAGCCUGACGGAGCAACGCCGCGUGAGUGAAGAAGAUCUUCGGAUUGUAAAGCUCUGUCAACAGGGACGAUAAUGACGGUACCUGUGGAGGAAGCCACGGCAAACUACGUGCCAGCAGCCGCGGUAAUACGUAGGGGGCGAGCGUUGUCCGGAAUCAUUGGGCGUAAAGGGCGUGUAGGCGGUUUUGUAAGUCAGAUGUGAAAACUUGAGGCUCAACUUCAAGCCUGCAUCUGAAACUACAUCACUUGAGGGCAGGAGAGGAAAGUGGAAUUCCAUGUGUAGCGGUGAAAUGCGUAGAUAUAUGGAAGAACACCAGUGGCGAAGGCGACUUUCUGGACUGAACCUGACGCUGAGGCGCGAAAGCCAGGGGAGCGAACG